This 159-nucleotide ribosomal RNA is filed under the name Ephemerocybe impatiens. Its description in RNAcentral is "Tulosesus impatiens 5.8S ribosomal RNA". It matches the Rfam family "5.8S ribosomal RNA". From Rfam's summary of the family: 5.8S ribosomal RNA (5.8S rRNA) is a component of the large subunit of the eukaryotic ribosome. It is transcribed by RNA polymerase I as part of the 45S precursor that also contains 18S and 28S rRNA. Functionally, it is thought that 5.8S rRNA may be involved in ribosome translocation. Lineage: Eukaryota; Fungi; Basidiomycota; Agaricomycetes; Agaricales; Psathyrellaceae. The record is from RNAcentral.
CAACUUUUAGCAACGGAUCUCUUGGCUCUCGCAUCGAUGAAGAACGCAGCGAAAUGCGAUAAGUAAUGUGAAUUGCAGAAUUCAGUGAAUCAUCGAAUCUUUGAACGCACCUUGCGCUCCUUGGUAUUCCGAGGAGCAUGCCUGUUUGAGUGUCAUUAA